Danio rerio (zebrafish) is the source of this 611-nucleotide non-coding RNA. NCBI's taxonomy places the organism in Eukaryota, Metazoa, Chordata, Actinopteri, Cypriniformes, Danionidae. The record is from RefSeq and is a predicted model, not a curated record.
UUGAGGAAGUGUAGUGCACGCGUCUGUUCAAAUCAGCGAUCACAUGCGAAACUCAGCUCUGUUCGAUGUUUGAUAUUCUGUCUGGAUGUGAUACAGGCAAGAUACAAGACGUCCUGCGAGUUCCCGGCAAUACAGAUAACCGCUGACAGACGCCAGCCAAUUUGCUGUCCCGCCGCACCAGAGCAAGGCACUAGAAAUAUGGGCUGAGGAGUGACCCUUUGGCUGUGUCGCCCAUCCAUCCGAACCUGGUGGUGGGCUGGCCACCGUGGUAAUUGCCUGCGAAACAGUGUUUUGACAAGCCAGACGGGUGUAAGCCAUCAUUCUAGCAGCACGGUGAUGAGGUGUCACCUGGAGAGAGCUGUUGAGAGCCCACAUGUUUACAUGCAGCCAGGUGACCCAGUUUUGCCCUGCAUCAGACCACCACUGCAUUCUUCACUUUGGUUUCAUUUCUCUGAAUCACACUUUACUAAUUUUGUUUGUCAGUGCUGAAGGCGGGUUCUAGGGGAGAUUCAUAGUCUAUACUAUAAAGCUCUUUAUAAUUUGAUUUGCUUUAAUACCUAAUCUUGAGACUCAUGAAAGAUUACCCAAAGAUAAAAAACAAACAAACAAAC